UGGAGUCUUGCUUGAGCGGGUCUCCUCAGCGGCUGCUGGAUUAGGUGCGUCCUUGCUCGAGCGCGGUGGCCAAGGCGUUUGGCUGAUAACACCAACUCCAAGUAAGGGCCGGAAGAGGGCACCAGACCUGAUUAUAAGUGGUUGUGAGCCACCAUGUGGUUGCUGGGAAUUGAACUCAGGACCUCUGGAAGAGCAGACAGCGCUCUUAACCUCUGAGCCAUCUCUCCAGCCCGAAUGUUUCUCAUUCUUAGAGGUUUGGAAAUGCCUGGCUGUCUGUCCUUUCCCCCGGAGUGGUCAGUGUUCUAUAGAUCUUUUAAUGAAUUUAGACAUUCUGAACAUCUAGUUGGCUCCAAAUUGUGAACCACAGGAUGAGUAUUCAGUGGGCAUGAGAGAUUGAGAACAUUCUACCACACCAUAAACCUUGGUGUAGAUCACUUCCUAUUCUGUGGAUUGAAGCCAGAGAGCACAAUGAGUACAAGAAAUCCUCAAAGAAAGCGGCGUGGUGGAGCUGUGAAUUCUAGACAAACCCAGAAGCGAACUCGGGAAACAACUUCAACCCCUGAGAUUUCCUUGGAAGCAGAACCCAUAGAACUUGUGGAAACCGUUGGAGAUGAAAUCGUGGACCUCACCUGUGAAUCUUUAGAGCCUGUGGUUGUGGACCUGACUCACAAUGACUCUGUUGUGGUUCCUUAGAAAGGAGAAGGCCAAGGAGAAAUGGGAGGAGGUUGCGCCAAGACCAUGCUGACAGCUGUGUGGUGAGCAGUGAUGAUGAAGAACUGUCUAAGGACAAAGAUGUAUACGUGACUACCCAUACUCCUCGAAGCACCAAGGAUGA
RNAcentral lists this long non-coding RNA (835 nucleotides) under Rattus norvegicus (Norway rat). RNAcentral describes it as "long non-coding RNA NONRATT010044". The record is from RNAcentral. Lineage: Eukaryota; Metazoa; Chordata; Mammalia; Rodentia; Muridae.